This 305-nucleotide ribosomal RNA is filed under the name uncultured bacterium. RNAcentral's name for it is "bacterial SSU rRNA". It matches the Rfam family "Bacterial small subunit ribosomal RNA", at positions 338 to 641 of the family's 1533-position model. The record is from RNAcentral.
CCUACGGGGGGCAGCAGUGAGGAAUAUUGGUCAAUGGUCGGGAGACUGAACCAGCCAAGCCGCGUGAGGGAUGAAGGUACAGAGUAUCGUAAACCUCUUUUGUCAGGGAACAAAGGCGGGGACGUGUCCCCGGAUGAGUGUACCUGAAGAAAAAGCAUCGGCUAACUCCGUGCCAGCAGCCGCGGUAAUACGGAGGAUGCGAGCGUUAUCCGGAUUUAUUGGGUUUAAAGGGUGCGUAGGCGGAAUGCCAAGUCAGCGGUAAAAUCGCGGGGCUCAACCUCGCUCCGCCGUUGAAACUGGCGUUU